RNAcentral lists this long non-coding RNA (1323 nucleotides) under Cricetulus griseus (Chinese hamster). RNAcentral describes it as "lncRNA (ENSCGRG00015041586.1)". Lineage: Eukaryota; Metazoa; Chordata; Mammalia; Rodentia; Cricetidae. The record is from RNAcentral.
CUUCCUCCUGCUCUCUGCUCUCUCUGGAGCCACCAUGUGAUCCCGGGAAGAGGACACCAGCUGAAAGCAUCCUCGAAGCAUCCGAGGUAACAUUUUAAAGAAAGGGGCUCUUCUUAGUGAACUGUGAAGAAACCAAGGACUGUGACCCACUGGAAUCUUUCCUGUAGAAUGUCGUCAAAAUUCUACUGGACAGCCGAGUUGGGUUUCCUGUGUUGCCUUAUGGCUGCAAGCCAUCACCGAAUUAUAGAUAGCUAGAGCAUUCAUGCCCUUGGAGAUGGCAUUUGUCAUGUGAUUCUCGGAGGGAGUUCCUUGAAGACUUCCCAAAGGUUAAAGACAUGAGAAGUUGUUGCUGGCUAGAGUGAGACAGAACCACAGUGCCAUGGCCACGUGCUGAUGGUGUGCAUAUUGUGGCCAUUGCCAGGACCCAUGCUUUCACCUGGAGUUUGAUGAGAAGGCCAUGGCAGGUUUUGAGUUGACACACCAGAGAAAAUUCAGCAUGGAUUCUAUGUGAAGAAGGCUUGGUAAAAAGAUCACUGUCAGCUGGACAAAGGAGACCCCUGUAGGGAGAAAGCAUGAUUAGACGUACCGCUGAACUGAACCAUAUUCCUGGAAUCCAGUUGUGGAGAAGGAGGAGGGAUGAGCAAAGGAGCCAAGAUGGUGCUGCAGAAACCCACAGAAACAGUUGUCCUGACCUAAUGAAAGCAUGGAGACCCUAGUCGCAAAGCUGAGGAAACAGCAUUGGACUGAACCAAGCCCUCUGAAUGAUUCAAGACAGUUGGCUUCAGUGGACACGGUUGUGGAGGAAUCUCGGCUUCUUCUAGCAAUGGCCACAGUUCUGACAUCGUUCGUACCAGGCCUUCCCCUGCCACUGUCCUGGUGGGGAGAAAAGGGGAGGCUGCUGGCAGGGUUGAUGCCACAGCCUUACGAUUGUGUAGUAAACACCAGUGUUCAUGGGUCUCUGAGAUGCAUUGACUUGAAGCCAUUUGGAUCAAAUGGAUGGCCUUAUCCCAACGUCUGCAUUCCCCAUGUGUUUAAUGAGUUCAGAUGAAAGAAAAACAGAUGCACACAUGACUUUACAAAGAGAAAGCUCACAUAAGACAACCUGUGUGACAGGCACAUGAACAUGAACUAAAAUGUGUAGAGUAAAAUUCAGGCGUGACUUGGAACUUCAGGCAGUUGCAGGGGCCUUACAUGUUGGUAAAACACUUUUUCCUCUAGCUACAUGAAGUCACUCAAAAAUUUCCAAGAAAUGGUGGAAUAUUUAAUUUUACUUAGAAAAUUGCUACCUGUUGAAACUUGCCUUAUCAAGUUAUAAUAAAUGUA